This 2732-nucleotide ribosomal RNA is filed under the name Escherichia coli. RNAcentral's name for it is "bacterial LSU rRNA". It matches the Rfam family "Bacterial large subunit ribosomal RNA". The record is from RNAcentral. Lineage: Bacteria; Pseudomonadati; Pseudomonadota; Gammaproteobacteria; Enterobacterales; Enterobacteriaceae.
UUAAGCGACUAAGCGUACACGGUGGAUGCCCUGGCAGUCAGAGGCGAUGAAGGACGUGCUAAUCUGCGAUAAGCGUCGGUAAGGUGAUAUGAACCGUUAUAACCGGCGAUUUCCGAAUGGGGAAACCCAGUGUGAUUCGUCACACUAUCAUUAACUGAAUCCAUAGGUUAAUGAGGCGAACCGGGGGAACUGAAACAUCUAAGUACCCCGAGGAAAAGAAAUCAACCGAGAUUCCCCCAGUAGCGGCGAGCGAACGGGGAGCAGCCCAGAGCCUGAAUCAGUGUGUGUGUUAGUGGAAGCGUCUGGAAAGGCGCGCGAUACAGGGUGACAGCCCCGUACACAAAAAUGCACAUGCUGUGAGCUCGAUGAGUAGGGCGGGACACGUGGUAUCCUGUCUGAAUAUGGGGGGACCAUCCUCCAAGGCUAAAUACUCCUGACUGACCGAUAGUGAACCAGUACCGUGAGGGAAAGGCGAAAAGAACCCCGGCGAGGGGAGUGAAAAAGAACCUGAAACCGUGUACGUACAAGCAGUGGGAGCACGCUUCGGCGUGUGACUGCGUACCUUUUGUAUAAUGGGUCAGCGACUUAUAUUCUGUAGCAAGGUUAACCGAAUAGGGGAGCCGAAGGGAAACCGAGUCUUAACUGGGCGUUAAGUUGCAGGGUAUAGACCCGAAACCCGGUGAUCUAGCCAUGGGCAGGUUGAAGGUUGGGUAACACUAACUGGAGGACCGAACCGACUAAUGUUGAAAAAUUAGCGGAUGACUUGUGGCUGGGGGUGAAAGGCCAAUCAAACCGGGAGAUAGCUGGUUCUCCCCGAAAGCUAUUUAGGUAGCGCCUCGUGAACUCAUCUCCGGGGGUAGAGCACUGUUUCGGCAAGGGGGUCAUCCCGACUUACCAACCCGAUGCAAACUGCGAAUACCGGAGAAUGUUAUCACGGGAGACACACGGCGGGUGCUAACGUCCGUCGUGAAGAGGGAAACAACCCAGACCGCCAGCUAAGGUCCCAAAGUCAUGGUUAAGUGGGAAACGAUGUGGGAAGGCCCAGACAGCCAGGAUGUUGGCUUAGAAGCAGCCAUCAUUUAAAGAAAGCGUAAUAGCUCACUGGUCGAGUCGGCCUGCGCGGAAGAUGUAACGGGGCUAAACCAUGCACCGAAGCUGCGGCAGCGACACUAUGUGUUGUUGGGUAGGGGAGCGUUCUGUAAGCCUGUGAAGGUGUACUGUGAGGUAUGCUGGAGGUAUCAGAAGUGCGAAUGCUGACAUAAGUAACGAUAAAGCGGGUGAAAAGCCCGCUCGCCGGAAGACCAAGGGUUCCUGUCCAACGUUAAUCGGGGCAGGGUGAGUCGACCCCUAAGGCGAGGCCGAAAGGCGUAGUCGAUGGGAAACAGGUUAAUAUUCCUGUACUUGGUGUUACUGCGAAGGGGGGACGGAGAAGGCUAUGUUGGCCGGGCGACGGUUGUCCCGGUUUAAGCGUGUAGGCUGGUUUUCCAGGCAAAUCCGGAAAAUCAAGGCUGAGGCGUGAUGACGAGGCACUACGGUGCUGAAGCAACAAAUGCCCUGCUUCCAGGAAAAGCCUCUAAGCAUCAGGUAACAUCAAAUCGUACCCCAAACCGACACAGGUGGUCAGGUAGAGAAUACCAAGGCGCUUGAGAGAACUCGGGUGAAGGAACUAGGCAAAAUGGUGCCGUAACUUCGGGAGAAGGCACGCUGAUAUGUAGGUGAGGUCCCUCGCGGAUGGAGCUGAAAUCAGUCGAAGAUACCAGCUGGCUGCAACUGUUUAUUAAAAACACAGCACUGUGCAAACACGAAAGUGGACGUAUACGGUGUGACGCCUGCCCGGUGCCGGAAGGUUAAUUGAUGGGGUUAGCGGUAACGCGAAGCUCUUGAUCGAAGCCCCGGUAAACGGCGGCCGUAACUAUAACGGUCCUAAGGUAGCGAAAUUCCUUGUCGGGUAAGUUCCGACCUGCACGAAUGGCGUAAUGAUGGCCAGGCUGUCUCCACCCGAGACUCAGUGAAAUUGAACUCGCUGUGAAGAUGCAGUGUACCCGCGGCAAGACGGAAAGACCCCGUGAACCUUUACUAUAGCUUGACACUGAACAUUGAGCCUUGAUGUGUAGGAUAGGUGGGAGGCUUUGAAGUGUGGACGCCAGUCUGCAUGGAGCCGACCUUGAAAUACCACCCUUUAAUGUUUGAUGUUCUAACGUUGACCCGUAAUCCGGGUUGCGGACAGUGUCUGGUGGGUAGUUUGACUGGGGCGGUCUCCUCCUAAAGAGUAACGGAGGAGCACGAAGGUUGGCUAAUCCUGGUCGGACAUCAGGAGGUUAGUGCAAUGGCAUAAGCCAGCUUGACUGCGAGCGUGACGGCGCGAGCAGGUGCGAAAGCAGGUCAUAGUGAUCCGGUGGUUCUGAAUGGAAGGGCCAUCGCUCAACGGAUAAAAGGUACUCCGGGGAUAACAGGCUGAUACCGCCCAAGAGUUCAUAUCGACGGCGGUGUUUGGCACCUCGAUGUCGGCUCAUCACAUCCUGGGGCUGAAGUAGGUCCCAAGGGUAUGGCUGUUCGCCAUUUAAAGUGGUACGCGAGCUGGGUUUAGAACGUCGUGAGACAGUUCGGUCCCUAUCUGCCGUGGGCGCUGGAGAACUGAGGGGGGCUGCUCCUAGUACGAGAGGACCGGAGUGGACGCAUCACUGGUGUUCGGGUUGUCAUGCCAAUGGCACUGCCCGGUAGCUAAAUGCGGA